Small nucleolar RNA from Mastomys coucha (southern multimammate mouse), 131 nucleotides. RefSeq annotates it as small nucleolar RNA SNORA17. The record is from RefSeq and is a predicted model, not a curated record. The transcript has a single exon. NCBI's taxonomy places the organism in Eukaryota, Metazoa, Chordata, Mammalia, Rodentia, Muridae.
CUUUCCCCUAGAGGAGUUAGAUGCAGGUGUGACUGCUGUGUCACAUGUGUGUCAGUAGAUGGCAGAGAGGAGAGAGGCUGUGUCUGUGUUUAGUGUUCUGACCUAUGAACAUCUGAAUAAUUAGUGACAGU